RNAcentral lists this unclassified non-coding RNA (300 nucleotides) under plant metagenome. RNAcentral's name for it is "partial contains small subunit ribosomal RNA, internal transcribed spacer 1, and 5.8S ribosomal RNA". The record is from RNAcentral.
UUUCCGUAGGUGAACCUGCGGAAGGAUCAUUAUUGAAUAAACCUGGCUUGGUUGAUGCUGGUCUUUUCGGAGACAUGUGCACACCUUGUCAUCUUUAUAUCUCCACCUGUGCACCUUUUGUAGACCUGGAUUCAACUUUCCGAGGAAACUCGGUUGUGAGGAAUUGCUUAAUAGGCUUUCCUUGUUAGUUUCCAGGGCUUUGUUUUCAUAUACACCUUAAGAAUGUAACAGAAUGUCAUUAUUAGGCUUAAUUGCCUUAUAAACUAUAUACAACUUUCAGCAACGGAUCUCUUGGCUCUC